This 761-nucleotide ribosomal RNA is filed under the name uncultured cyanobacterium. RNAcentral's name for it is "bacterial SSU rRNA". It matches the Rfam family "Bacterial small subunit ribosomal RNA", at positions 56 to 849 of the family's 1533-position model. Lineage: Bacteria; Bacillati; Cyanobacteriota. The record is from RNAcentral.
UGCAAGUCGUACGAGAGUUUUUAACUCUAGUGGCGGACGGGUGAGUAACACGYGAGAAUUUACCUUUAGGAGGGGGAUAACAAUUGGAAACGAAUGCUAAUACCCCAUAUGCUUUCGAGUGAAAUGGAUUUAUAUUUAUUCGCCUAAAGAGAAGCUCGCGGCUGAUUAGCUUGUUGGUAAGGUAAGAGCUUACCAAGGCGACGAUCAGUAUCUGGUUUGAGAGGACGAUCAGACACACUGGAACUGAGACACGGUCCAGACUCCUACGGGAGGCAGCAGUGGGGAAUUUUCCGCAAUGGGCGAAAGCCUGACGGAGCAAUACCGCGUGAGGGAAGACUGCCUAUGGGUUGUAAACCUCUUUUUUCAGGGAGGAAUAAAUGACGUGUACCUGAAGAAUAAGCAUCGGCUAACUCCGUGCCAGCAGCCGCGGUAAGACGGAGGAUGCAAGUGUUAUCCGGAAUCACUGGGCGUAAAGCGUCUGUAGGUGGUUUAAUAAGUCAACUGUUAAAUCUUGAGGCUCAACUUCAAAAUCGCAGUCGAAACUAUUAGACUAGAGUAUAGUAGAGGUAAAGGGAAUUUCCAGUGGAGCGGUGAAAUGCGUAGAUAUUGGAAAGAACACCGAUGGCGAAAGCACUUUACUGGGCUAUUACUAACACUCAGAGACGAAAGCUAGGGUAGCAAAUGGGAUUAGAUACCCCAGUAGUCCUAGCCGUAAACUAUGGGAUACUAGAUGUUGAACAGAUCGACCUGUGCAGUAUCAA